RNAcentral lists this transfer RNA (74 nucleotides) under Pteropus alecto (black flying fox). It matches the Rfam family "tRNA". Rfam says of the family: Transfer RNA (tRNA) molecules are approximately 80 nucleotides in length. Their secondary structure includes four short double-helical elements and three loops (D, anti-codon, and T loops). Further hydrogen bonds mediate the characteristic L-shaped molecular structure. tRNAs have two regions of fundamental functional importance: the anti-codon, which is responsible for specific mRNA codon recognition, and the 3' end, to which the tRNAs corresponding amino acid is attached (by aminoacyl-tRNA synthetases). tRNAs cope with the degeneracy of the genetic code in two manners: having more than one tRNA (with a specific anti-codon) for a particular amino acid; and 'wobble' base-pairing, i.e. permitting non-standard base-pairing at the 3rd anti-codon position. Lineage: Eukaryota; Metazoa; Chordata; Mammalia; Chiroptera; Pteropodidae. The record is from Rfam by way of RNAcentral.
GGCUCCAUAAUGUAGUGGUUAGCACAUCUGCUUUACAUGCAGAAGGUUUUAGGUUCGCGCCACAGGUGGAGCCA